UCGGGAAUAUUGCGCAAUGGAGGAAACUCUGACGCAGUGACGCCGCGUGCAGGAAGAAGGUUUUCGGAUUGUAAACUGCUUUAGACAGGGAAGAAACAAGACAGUACCUGUAGAAUAAGCUCCGGCUAACUACGUGCCAGCAGCCGCGGUAAUACGUAGGGAGCAAGCGUUAUCCGGAUUUAUUGGGUGUAAAGGGUGCGUAGACGGGAAAUUAAGUUAGUUGUGAAAUCCCUCGGCUUAACUGAGGAACUGCAACUAAAACUGAUUUUCUUGAGUGUUGGAGAGGAAAGUGGAAUUCCUAGU
This 303-nucleotide ribosomal RNA is filed under the name uncultured bacterium. RNAcentral describes it as "bacterial SSU rRNA". It matches the Rfam family "Bacterial small subunit ribosomal RNA", at positions 355 to 674 of the family's 1533-position model. The record is from RNAcentral.